This 355-nucleotide long non-coding RNA is filed under the name Homo sapiens (human). RNAcentral's name for it is "non-protein coding LINC01082:4". Lineage: Eukaryota; Metazoa; Chordata; Mammalia; Primates; Hominidae. The record is from RNAcentral.
CCGGUAGAGAGGGUGCUCAGAUAACCGACAGCGUUUCUCCCACCCUCAUCACUGUCCGACUUACCCCGGGCUGGCAUCAGGGAGUGUUGUCAGGCGUUUAUGCCGUUAUGAAUGGCUUUAUGAUACCUCGAGAGGGGGACCAGGGCCACCGGCUUCAUGGUGGCUAUUUUCUGAAGGUGGCAGGAGAAGAUAAAACCAAAAUUCAGGGUUUGCUUUUUAAAUACCAUGCUAGUAAAAUCAGAACAGUAAUGACGGGAACCAAAAGAUCUAUCUGAAAUGUUCCUAAGCCAGACAGAUGUGAGGACGCACAAUGUAAACGUUAUGCAGCAGCUUUGGGAGAGGCUUUUUAUGGCUC